UAGAGUUUGAUCCUGGCUCAGGAUGAACGCUGGCUGGCGUGCUUAACACAUGCAAGUCGAACGAAGCAUUUAGAACGGAUUAUUUCGGUAUGAAGUUCUUUAUGACUGAGUGGCGGACGGGUGAGUAACGCGUGGGUAACCUGCCUUGUACUGGGGGAUAGCAGCUGGAAACGGCUGGUAAUACCGCAUAAGCGCACAAUGUUGCAUGACAUGGUGUGAAAAACUCCGGUGGUAUAAGAUGGGCCCGCGGCGCAUUAGCUAGUUGGUGAGGUAACGGCUCACCAAGGCGACGAUGCGUAGCCGACCUGAGAGGGUGAUCGGCCACAUUGGGACUGAGACACGGCCCAAACUCCUACGGGAGGCAGCAGUGAGGAAUAUUGGUCAAUGGACGAGAGUCUGAACCAGCCAAGUAGCGUGCAGGAAGACGGCCCUAUGGGUUGUAAACUGCUUUUAUAAGGGAAUAAAGUGAGUCUCGUGAGACUUUUUGCAUGUACCUUAUGAAUAAGGACCGGCUAAUUCCGUGCCAGCAGCCGCGGUAAUACGGAAGGUCCGGGCGUUAUCCGGAUUUAUUGGGUUUAAAGGGAGCGUAGGCCGGAGAUUAAGCGUGUUGUGAAAUGUAGAUGCUCAACGUCUGCACUGCAGCGCGAGCUGGUUUCCUUGAGUACGCACAAAGUGGGCGGAAUUCGUGGUGUAGCGGGUGAAAUGCUUAGAUAUCACGAAGAACUCCGAUUGCGAAGGCAGCUCACUGGAGCGCAACUGACGCUGAAGCUCGAAAGUGCGGGGUAUCGAACAGGAUUAGAUACCCUGGUAGUCCGCACGGUAAACGAUGGAUGCCCGCUGUUGGUCUGAAUAGGUCAGCGGCCAAGCGAAAGCAUUAAGCAUCCCACCUGGGGAGUACGCCGGCAACGGUGAAACUCAAAGGAAUUGACGGGGGCCCGCACAAGCGGAGGAACAUGUGGUUUAAUUCGAUGAUACGCGAGGAACCUUACCCGGGCUUGAACUGUAGGCGAACGAUUUAGAGAUGAUGAGGCCCUUCGGGGCGCCUAUGGAGGUGCUGCAUGGUUGUCGUCAGCUCGUGCCGUGAGGUGUCGGCUUAAGUGCCAUAACGAGCGCAACCCUUGUUCGUAGUUGCCAUCGGUUAAAGCCGGGCACUCUGCGAGGACUGCCUCCGUAAGGAGUGAGGAAGGUGGGGAUGACGUCAAAUCAGCACGGCCCUUACGUCCGGGGCUACGCACGUGUUACAAUGGCAUGUACAGAAAGCAGGGUGUAUGCAAAUACGCUCGAAUCCCUAAAACAUGUCUCAGUUCGGACUGGGGUCUGCAACCCGACCCCACGAAGCUGGAUUCGCUAGUAAUCGCGCAUCAGCCAUGGCGCGGUGAAUACGUUCCCGGGCCUUAAACUCACCGCCCGUCAAG
Molecule: ribosomal RNA, 1415 nt
Filed under: uncultured bacterium
Lineage: Bacteria
Description: bacterial SSU rRNA
Rfam family: Bacterial small subunit ribosomal RNA
Source: RNAcentral